ACUGAUCUGUUUCUUUGCUCUCUCCAUCAUAUGAUACAAGAACCCCAUCUGGGGGUAUCUUUCGCUAUCCACAAUGCGAAGUAUCUUAUAUAACGGCUUGAUAACCUUCACUAUCUUAUCAGCCCAUUGCCAAAAUGACUAACUCAUCAUCAAGUUCUCCACAUGACUUUCCUCAGUGCUAACCCUCAUAUAUCUACUCUCCUACCACUCAACACUGACAAACAUCUCACGUAAUACUACUUUCUUCUCCGAGGGCUAUCAAGUGCUAUGUGGUUUAUAGCAAACCGUGUGACAUCUGAUCUCAAGAUCUCUCCUAAUAUACGUUAACAUCAAUAAUAAAACCCAUGUAUGAUUGUAGAUGAAUCUAGAAAUAGUCUGGGCUGAGUCCACUACCUGCUGCACCCUACGAAGCUUUUCAAUAUCCAUAAAAAUGAGGUUAAUGCAUUAUGUAGCACAUGAGAUCUAGUAACUAUUUGGUCACCACUCCAUCAGCAACUCUCCGGUGGCCUUAUAUUAUAGUCUAUAUCUAUAAUGAUGUACAUGAUAUUUCGCUCUCCUACUGAAUCAAUCACCUCCUCCAUCAGUCCAAAGAUAUAUGCGGCAUCGUGUACCUUAUCUGAAGUAUCAAUUGACUUAUGAAAAAAUAUUUCUCUAUCAUAAUAUGUCAAAAAAUUGAUGAUGCUCCUCCGCUUGAUAGGACCGAUCCAACCAUCACACAUCACCGUCAAUCUAUAUGUGGGCCAUUUAUUCUUGCAAAACAAAUCCAUCUUUGCAGCUCUUUGAUACUAUCAAGAAGCUGACCGUAGAUGUUCCCAGGUACUGGCAGAUCUACACUUGGCCCGACAGUCUAUAUGGCUGAAAUGGUAGAUCAAUAGUAAGUAUUGCUUGCUACAUUCGCUAAAAUGUAGUCAAAAUAAAACCAUGAUCCAAUAGCUCACCACAUAUCCUUCUUCUUAUCUUUUUUCAACAUACCGUCAAUCCUCUACCACUUUGAAUCUUUACUGAAAAAAGCCUAUGAAUCCAAAUCAUGGAUGGUGGCACCUACUGAAAUAUCUCUAGAUGACCUCCUCCUACUCUCAUAAGCCCCUAGCAUAGAUGAAAUACCGUGCCUACCCAUGGAAUGCUGUACCGAGUUGAACGACCCAUACGAGGUUUACCGAACUGAAUCGGAGGCCAGCCAAUUUGGUUCGGGUUUUUUUUCAAAAAAUCCUUCGAAUUGCAUCGAAUC
Molecule: long non-coding RNA, 1228 nt
Filed under: Elaeis guineensis (African oil palm)
Lineage: Eukaryota; Viridiplantae; Streptophyta; Magnoliopsida; Arecales; Arecaceae
Description: long non-coding RNA (EGUI_LNC077434)
Source: RNAcentral